GGAAAACAGUUUCUUAAUGAGGAAUAUUUGUAAGCUCUGUUGGCGCUCAGCAGGUUGAAGAUUGACAAUGAACCACCUAAGGGUGCAGAUUUAGCCUCAGGGUGCAGCUCGGAUCCCUGGGUUCAGCGGAGGUGGGUGCCGAAGCCCGAACUGAAUUGGCACGCAGGUCCCUGCCCAGCGCUGAGCCGCGCCUCGGGAAAGACUGAAAGCUGCCCGUGCCGCUGAGCAUGCCCAGUUUCUGCCUGAGUCCCUGGAGGGUUGCAAGAUUGGGGGUUGAUUUGGUCUCCAGGUGCCGUAGGCUGCGAGGAAGAUGAGACGGCCAAAGAUGAGAAGGCCAAAGAUUGCGAGCGACUAGUACAAAAGAAGGAAAGAGUUUGAAAUAGCUGCAGCUGUGCUUGGGAGACGACAAGAGUUUCUCUCCCAGGUGCUGAACGUGUGGAGCUAUCCAUGGUUCUGAAUCCGACUCAGCAGUUGGCAACUCUUCUCUGCCUACAACCAACCAGGGACAAUAGAACUACAAACUCAGAGUCUUAACGAAACCCAAGUUCACCUUCCUCCCAAAAUAUAUCAAGAACUCCAGA
Molecule: long non-coding RNA, 581 nt
Filed under: Homo sapiens (human)
Lineage: Eukaryota; Metazoa; Chordata; Mammalia; Primates; Hominidae
Description: HSALNT0042353
Source: RNAcentral